GGGUUUGUAGCCUAGCCUGGACAGGGCGUCAGACUCCUAAUCUGAAAGUCGGGGGUUCGAAUCCCCCCAAAUCCG
RNAcentral lists this transfer RNA (75 nucleotides) under Methanosphaera sp. rholeuAM6. It matches the Rfam family "tRNA". From Rfam's summary of the family: Transfer RNA (tRNA) molecules are approximately 80 nucleotides in length. Their secondary structure includes four short double-helical elements and three loops (D, anti-codon, and T loops). The record is from Rfam by way of RNAcentral. Lineage: Archaea; Methanobacteriati; Methanobacteriota; Methanobacteria; Methanobacteriales; Methanobacteriaceae.